AACGAACGCUGGCGGCAUGCUUAACACAUGCAAGUCGAACGGACAGGCCCUGCUUUUGUCGGGUGCCCGAGUGGCGAAGGGGUGAAAAACACGUGAGUCUCCUGCCUUUGACUGUGGGAUAACUUCAAGAACCUGGGGAUACUACCGGAUAGGAGAUCCUGCUGCAUGGUGGGGGUUGGAAAGUUUCGGCGGUUGGGGAUGGACUCGGGGCUAAUCAGCUUGUUGGUGGGGUAGUGGCUUAGCAGGGCUUCGACGGGUAGCCGGCCUGGGAGGGGAGCCGGCCACGAUAGGACUGAGAUACGGCCCAGACUCCUACGGUAGGCAGCAGUGGAGAAGAUUACACAAUGGGCGGGAGCCUGAUGCAGCAACGCCGCGUUCGGUAUGACGGCCUGCGGGUUGGAAAGCGCUUUCGCCUGUGACGAAGCGUUAGUGACGGUACCGGGUAAAGAAGCACCGGCUAACUACGUG
RNAcentral lists this ribosomal RNA (468 nucleotides) under uncultured bacterium. Its description in RNAcentral is "partial 16S ribosomal RNA". It matches the Rfam family "Bacterial small subunit ribosomal RNA", at positions 28 to 507 of the family's 1533-position model. The record is from RNAcentral.